RNAcentral lists this transfer RNA (72 nucleotides) under Sus scrofa (pig). It matches the Rfam family "tRNA". From Rfam's summary of the family: Transfer RNA (tRNA) molecules are approximately 80 nucleotides in length. Their secondary structure includes four short double-helical elements and three loops (D, anti-codon, and T loops). Lineage: Eukaryota; Metazoa; Chordata; Mammalia; Artiodactyla; Suidae. The record is from Rfam by way of RNAcentral.
UCCCUGGUGGCCUAGUGGUUAGGAUUUGGUGCUUUCACUGCUGUGACCCAGGUUCAAUCCCUGGUCUGGGAA